Molecule: ribosomal RNA, 253 nt
Filed under: uncultured bacterium
Lineage: Bacteria
Description: partial 16S ribosomal RNA
Rfam family: Bacterial small subunit ribosomal RNA
Source: RNAcentral
UACAGGGGGGGCAAGCGUUGUUCGGAAUUACUGGGCGUAAAGGGCUCGUAGGCGGCCAACUAAGUCACACGUGAAAUCCCCAGGCUUAACCUGGGAACUGCGUGUGAUACUGGAUGGCUUGAAUUCGGGAGAGGGAUGCAGAAUUCCAGGUGUAGCGGUGAAAUGCGUAGAUAUCUGGAGGAAUACCGGUGGCGAAAGCGGCACACUGGAUCUCAACUGACGCUGAGGCACGAAAGCCAGGGGAGCGAACGGG